This 647-nucleotide ribosomal RNA is filed under the name Triticum aestivum (bread wheat). RNAcentral's name for it is "partial small subunit ribosomal RNA". Lineage: Eukaryota; Viridiplantae; Streptophyta; Magnoliopsida; Poales; Poaceae. The record is from RNAcentral.
CAAUCUCUCACUCUUCGACGACAAAUCCUUCUAUCUCCGGCCGCCGUUUUCUGGAUGCGCAGCCAAAAAAGACCCGUCGCGAUGUCAAGCGGAGGACGAGGCGUGGUGACCCAGGGGGCCGCGGCGGCUCGCCGCGGUGCAAACGAGCUCACGACGACGAGGUCGGGAGCUCCGCCAUCUGCAACCCGGUCGAGGACUGGUGUUGCGUGCAGGCGAGGGAGCGUGGCGCCCUCUCCUACAGCAGCGGUCAGGGGGCAUGGAGGGAGUUCGACCGCCUCCACGAGAUCCUUUAGCCGACCACCAAGCGCCUCCGCGAGGGCAUGAAGGCGGAGCUCGAGUUCGCCGAGGCGAAACAGAUGGCCGCUGUCGGAGAAGAAUGCGCCGCCGCACGGCUCGAGGCGGCCAAAGAGGACUACUAGCUCGCCUUUGUCCUCUCCAAUUCCGUGAUGGAGUAUCAUCUCCAUAUCAAGAAGGAUUAAGUAGUUUAGAUUAGGUUUCAUCUAAUGUGUUUAAGUUUGUGUGAUGAACUCCGGUGAACCAUGGUGGUGGAAACUAUGGUUUAUGUACAAUGUUUAAAUUAUGCGGUAUGGUUUGGGGGGUCUGCUCUGCCAUGCCUUUCGCGGUACAACAAUUUUUUUACCGUAUCC